RNAcentral lists this ribosomal RNA (120 nucleotides) under uncultured bacterium. Its description in RNAcentral is "partial 16S ribosomal RNA". It matches the Rfam family "Bacterial small subunit ribosomal RNA", at positions 796 to 914 of the family's 1533-position model. The record is from RNAcentral.
CACGCCCUAAACGAUGGAUACUAGGCGUAAGAGGUAUCGACCCCUCUUGUGCCGCAGCUAACGCAUUAAGUAUCCCGCCUGGGGAGUACGGCCGCAAGGUUGAAACUCAAAUGAAUUGAC